RNAcentral lists this long non-coding RNA (3279 nucleotides) under Sus scrofa (pig). RNAcentral's name for it is "lncRNA (ENSSSCG00060055053.1)". The record is from RNAcentral. Lineage: Eukaryota; Metazoa; Chordata; Mammalia; Artiodactyla; Suidae.
UUUUUUUUCUUUUUUUGGUUAUCACUUUUUGAGACCUAAGAAACUGUUGCACAAGUCAUGAAACUAUUCCGUUUUCCCCAAAAAGCUUUAUGGUUUUACAUUUUAUUUUUAUGUUAUGCUCUACCUCAAGUUAAUCCUUGUGUUUGAUGUGAGGUAGAGGUUGAGAUUCACUUUUUUCUAUAUGGAUAUUCAGUUAUUUCAGUGCUCUUCAUGGGAAAAAAACUUUCCUUUCCCUGUUGGACUGCUUUGGUGCCUAUAUCAAAAAUUCCAUAAACAUGAAUCUAUUUCUGGGUGCUCUUUUUCACUCAUGUAUUUGAUACUAUGUCAGUGUCACCAUCGUGAUUACUAUGGGUUGACAGUAAAUCUUGAAAUCAGGUACUGUAAGUCCUCCAGUUUUGUUCUUUUUCAAGACUGCUUUGGCUAUUCUAAGUCCUCUGCAUUUCCACUUUUAUUUUGUUUUAGUUUAUUUAUUUGGUCUUUUUAGGGCCACACCCACGGCAUAUGGAAAUUCCCAGGUACGGCUCUAAAAAGACAAAAAAUAAAAUAAAAUAAAUAAAAAAUACUAAAAUAUGAUCAGUUACUGGGGAUGAGAAGAUACAUAGGUAUAAUCUAUAACUUCUAUAAACUAGUCCUUUAAGAAUUUAUCUUGGCACUGAAAGAACCUGAUAAACAAAAUAACCCCUUGGCAGCACUCAUGUUCCAUUUAAUUUUCCCUUGAGGACAGGAAAGAUGGAAUAACUUGAAGAUCACGAAAAGCAAAAUUACUAGUUUUUGAAUCACUACCUAAAAAUUAGUUCAUUUAAUGUUUCUAUCUUAAAACACCAACACAGAUGUUUGGCCUCUCUGCCUUGAAACUCUAUGCUUUUGUAAAAAAUGUUCAGAAUGUCACAUUAAAUCCUCACAAGCAACAUUGUUGCAAUAAGAACAUAAAUACUAAUAAAUCCCAAGUUGGUAAUAAAUAACCCAUUAAAACAGAAGUAUCUCACGUGAACCCAUUUAUAACUGAAAAGAGCCUCUAUAUAAUAUUAAACAACAGCAUAUGCUGGAAUGAAGACAGGAUCUAUUUUUAUGUAUUUAUGAAGUACUGAAUUAUAAAAUAUGAAGUGCUCAGCAAGGCAGGUGUAUUUGGAAGCAGUAAAAAGAAUCCAUGCUUUCCCCUUACCCCCAAAUAUGAUUAUUCAAAUGAAAAAGAAAAGUAUGUGUGGUCUAAAGGUACCUAGCUAUUCCAUAAGUAAUUACUCAUCAGCAUAUGCUAAAAUUAAAUUUAGAGAAAGCUUUGUAACUUAGUCCUUCAGUUAAUAAUAGCCCAGAAAGUACAAACUGAAAAAAAGCUUCCUAAAAACAGUUUUUGUAGUUUUAUCACCAGUUACAGGGAACUAGGAAAUUACCUAACUUUAGGGCUUCUGAGAACCUUGAUCUAUUAAUUAAAUUCCUUUAUUCUCUAUGAUAGUACCCAAGUAUUAUAACAAAGUAACAAAAGUAGCAAAAGACAUAUGACCUUUUUUAGGGCAAAUUUACCAUGUUUUAUUCUUCUCAUAAAGGUUCAAUAAUUUCCUUCCUAUAAAAAUCAGAAUCUUUUAAAUUAUAAAAUAGGCUUAUGUUUUGCAUAAUUUAAUUACACUUAUGUGUGUAUAUGUGUGUGUGUGUGUUUCAAGCAGUGAAAAGUUUAAAUGUAAGUCAAAAUUCUUCUAAUCUUAUAUGCUAAAGAUAACCAUAUUAAGGAUUUAGUGUAAUAUCCUUCCAGAUUUUUACUAUGCUAUACAUACAUACAUGUAAUUUUAGGUCAAAAAUAGAAUUAUAUCUACUUCAGGUAACUUCCUUUUUGCCCACCUAGAAAUAUAUAACAGAUGUUUUUUCUAUGAGUACACAGAUAUACCUCUUUCUAUUUAGCAGCUGAGUAGUAUUCUAAAGAAGAAUUGUACCAUAAUUAUUCAACAUCCAAAUUUAAACAUUUAGAUUGCUUUCAAUUUCUGCUAAUACAAACUGCUAAUAGUUAGUCUCUUAUGCCCUAAAGUAAGAAUGUACUUCCAAUAAAGGUGACUCAUCUCCUAUUUUGUCAAUUUGUUUAAACAAACUACCAGGUGCUUGUUACAAGAUGACAUUUUUGAUGCUAGAUUAUAAAUUAGAAUUUCUGAGAAAGGUAACCUUUGAAAUGAGCUUGGAAAGAUAAACAUGCCCUGCAAAAAAAUCUAACAGCAGCAUCCUAAGACAUCAAUGUGUAUUAAGUUAGAAGAUUAUAAACAGUAAUGAUACCAUUAACACCCAUACAUGCAGUUUAAGAAAUAGAGGAUUAUCACUACCUUGGAAGAUCUCUGUGUUCACAUCCUUCCUCUUUACUUCCCAAAGGUAAUUUUGUUCAGUAUUUUAUUACCGCUUGAUUCCCACCCCCCCCCAGAUUCAUUAGGGUAUAACUGAUGGAUGAAACGGUAGUAUAUAAUGUGAUGAUUUAAUAUAUGUAUACAAUGCUUUUCUAUUCUUUCGAGUUUUACUGUAUGUGUUCUACCCCUAACUUAAAUAUCUCUAAAUAACAUAUUACAUGCUUUGAAUUUUAUAUGAAUGAAAGUGUAUUGUAAUUGAAAUGUCUUUUUUUAAAAAUAAAAGUUUCUUAAGACUCAUCCACAUUGUUCUUUAUAGCUGCAAUUCAUUCAUCAUCUCUGCUAACUAAUACGGGGGGUUUUUUUGUUUGUUUGCUUGUUUGUUGCUUGUCAGACCCACACCUGAGACAUAUGCAAGUUCCCAGGCUAGGGGUCAAAUCGGAGCUGCAGCUGCUGGCCUAUACCACAGCCAUAGCAAUGCAGGAGCUGAGCCACAGGUGACAGAAAUGUCGGAUCCCUAACCCACUAAGCAAGGCCAGGGACUGAACCCACAUCCUCAUGGAUAGUACUUGGGCUUGUAACCCUCUGAACCACAGCAGGAACUCCUCUGCUAAAUAAUAUUGUAACAUAAGAAAACAGCAUCAUUUAUUUAUACAUUCUACUGCUGGUCAGCAUAUGAGUUGUUUCCAGUUUUCUGCUAUUUCAAAAAAUUUUCCUGUGAAUAUUUUUGUGCAUAUCUUUUGCGGUAUGUGGGUAAAAACUCCUUUAAGAGUGGAAUCACAGGGUCAUUGGAUACUUUCAUAUUUAGCUGUAUAGGAAAAUAUUAUUUCUUGUUAUAUCUUACUAAAUUUUCUAAAGGUAUUACACCAUUUUAUAUUCUUUUUUUUUUGUCUUUUGUCUUUUUUGAUGUUGUUGUUGUUGUUGUUGUUGUUGUUGCUAUUUCUUGGGCCGCUCCCGCGGCAUA